CGACGCGAGUGGUCGUGAAAGCCGAACGACGCUGGUCGGAUGUGUCGUGUUUCAGUUCGGUCAGCGACGUACUGCACGAAGCAGCUUGGGAGCGUCUCUUCUGUGCUUUCUUCCAUUCGCUUUCACUAUCAUCCUUCUCUCUUACACUUUCGUAUCUCGUGCUGCAGUGUAUUAUAUAUAAAUAUAUAUAUAUAUAUAUAUACUUAUAUCCACGCUGUUACAGGCGGCCGAGCACGACAGACUUUGUGUCUCGCAUGUGUGUUUGUAUGUAUAUAUACGCGUAUAGGUGAUUUGCUUUUUCUUACACAUUCACAUAUACAUACCACACAUACACUGAAUGUACCAUUCUCUCGGAGAGUACAUCGCGUUUUCUCUUCAACAAGAAAUCCUAAUUUUUUUCGAGUAUACCGAUUAAUAUGUGCAGUUUUUAGUGCUAAAUGAUUAGAGAAAAAAGAAGACAAAGAUAAAAGAGAAAAAAAAGGAAAGUAGAAGAGAUAUGGAAGUUUAUUGAGGUUCCUUCUUCACAAACGCACGCCGUUUUGACAGCAACAGACACAGAAGCAGAAACAGGGCAACGGCCCAGACGGUUUCCUAGCGUCUCUUCACUUGGAUUCUCUUCUUCCCCCUUUCUCAUUCUGUCGGUCGAAGCUCCCUCAUCGUUUCUUCUGUCUCUGUUUUUCUUACCAAACAUUUACGAGCAAGAGAAAAGACCAAAAGCACGCCUCCUCUAACACAACCACCGCCACUACCACCACCACCACCAGCAAAAGCAACAUUUUUCUCAAGAUUUGAACAGGAAUUCAUAUUUUCCAACGCAUUGGUCUUUCAAAGGCAGGAAGUGAAAUCAACAGCCAACGAAUUGGCGACGACGACGACGACGACGACAACUUUGAAGUUACGAACGAGGAAUCAACAGGAAGAUGUCUCGUGUUCAUCACUGUUUACUCUGGAUCGUUAAUGCUUAUCAUAAAGCCUAAUUCUUUCGCACACACGGCCAUGAACACAUUCUCCUCGUGUCACUAUUCUUUCAAUUUGAAAAUUUGAUGCGCUGCCAAAUGGAGUGAAGCAACCAUGUGGGGGAACGGGGGGGGAAGGUCGACAUUGUGCAUGCGGCAUAAUAGAGAAGAGAGAAGAACAUGAUAUACUUAAAAUAAAAAAUUAAAAUUA
RNAcentral lists this unclassified non-coding RNA (1167 nucleotides) under Polistes fuscatus (common paper wasp). Its description in RNAcentral is "uncharacterized LOC122521356, transcript variant X5". The record is from RNAcentral. Lineage: Eukaryota; Metazoa; Arthropoda; Insecta; Hymenoptera; Vespidae.